This 409-nucleotide ribosomal RNA is filed under the name uncultured Cenococcum. Its description in RNAcentral is "eukaryotic LSU rRNA". It matches the Rfam family "Eukaryotic large subunit ribosomal RNA", at positions 1 to 406 of the family's 3401-position model. The record is from RNAcentral. Lineage: Eukaryota; Fungi; Ascomycota; Dothideomycetes; Gloniales; Gloniaceae.
UUGACCUCGGAUCAGGCAGGGAUACCCGCUGAACUUAAGCAUAUCAAUAAGCGGAGGAAAAGAAACCAACAGGGAUUGCCUCAGUAACGGCGAGUGAAGCGGCAACAGCUCAAAUUUGAAAUCUGGCUCUUUUAGGGUCCGAGUUGUAAUUUGUAGAGGAUGCUUCGGCGUCGGCUCCGGUCUAAGUUCCUUGGAACAGGACGUCAUAGAGGGUGAGAAUCCCGUAUGUGAUCGGUUGCCCUUGCCAUGUGAAGCUCCUUCGACGAGUCGAGUUGUUUUGGAAUGCAGCUCUAAAUGGGAGGUAAAUUUCUUCUAAAGCUAAAUACUGGCCAGAGACCGAUAGCGCACAAGUAGAGUGAUCGAAAGAUGAAAAGCACUUUGGAAAGAGAGUCAAAAAGUACGUGAAAUG